UUUGCCCAAGGCGAACCGGUAGCACAGAGAGCUUGCUCUCGGGUGACGAGUGGCGGACGGGUGAAAACUGGGAAACUGCCUGAUGGAGGGGGAUAACUACUGGAAACGUAGCUAAUACCGCAUAAGUCCAAGACCAAGAGGGGGACCUUCGGGCCUCUUGCCAUCAGAUGUGCCCAGAUGGGAUUAGCUAGUAGGUGGGGUAACGGCUCACCUAGGCGACGAUCCCUAGCUGGUCUGAGAGGAUGACCAGCCACACUGGAACUGAGACACGGUCCAGACUCCUACGGGAGGCAGCAGUGGGGAAUAUUGCACAAUGGGCGCAAGCCUGAUGCCCAUGCCGCGGUAUGAAAAGGCCUUCGGGUUGUAAAGUACUUUCAGCGGGGAGGAAGGGUUGUGGUUAAUAACCCAGCAAUUGACGUUACCCGCAGAAGAAGCACCGGCUAACUCCGUGCCAGCAGCCGCGGUAAUACAGGGUGCAAGCGUUAAUCGGAAUUACUGGGCGUAAAGCGCACGCAGGCGGUCUGUCAAGUCGAUGGAAAUCCCCGGGCUCCCCUGGAACUGCCUUCAAACUGGCAGGCUGGAGUCUUGUAAGCGGGGUAAAUUCCCCGGCGUAGCGGUGAAAUGCGCAGAUCUGGAGGAAUACCGGUG
RNAcentral lists this ribosomal RNA (648 nucleotides) under Enterobacter cloacae. Its description in RNAcentral is "bacterial SSU rRNA". It matches the Rfam family "Bacterial small subunit ribosomal RNA", at positions 54 to 714 of the family's 1533-position model. Lineage: Bacteria; Pseudomonadati; Pseudomonadota; Gammaproteobacteria; Enterobacterales; Enterobacteriaceae. The record is from RNAcentral.